Molecule: ribosomal RNA, 2210 nt
Filed under: Rhizobium rosettiformans W3
Lineage: Bacteria; Pseudomonadati; Pseudomonadota; Alphaproteobacteria; Hyphomicrobiales; Rhizobiaceae
Description: partial 23S ribosomal RNA
Rfam family: Bacterial large subunit ribosomal RNA
Source: RNAcentral
CAUUGUCCUUGAGUAAGGCGGGACACGUGAAAUCCUGUCUGAACAUGGGGAGACCACUCUCCAAGCCUAAGUACUCGUGCAUGACCGAUAGCGAACAAGUACCGUGAGGGAAAGGUGAAAAGCACCCCGACAAGGGGAGUGAAAUAGAACCUGAAACCGGAUGCCUACAAGCAGUCGGAGGCCGCAAGGCUGACGGCGUACCUUUUGUAUAAUGGGUCAACGACUUAGUGUAACUAGCAAGCUUAAGCCGGUAGGUGUAGGCGCAGCGAAAGCGAGUCUGAACAGGGCGUUCAGUUAGUUGCAUUAGACCCGAAACCGAGUGAUCUAGCCAUGAGCAGGCUGAAGGUUGGGUAACACCAACUGGAGGGCCGAACCCGCAUCUGUUGCAAUAGAUUGGGAUGACUUGUGGCUAGGGGUGAAAGGCCAAUCAAACUCGGAGAUAGCUGGUUCUCCGCGAAAUCUAUUUAGGUAGAGCGUCGACCGAAUACCCCAGGGGGUAGAGCACUGGAUGGGCUAUGGGGACUCACCGUCUUACUGAUCCUAACCAAACUCCGAAUACCUGGGAGUACUAGUCGGCAGACACACGGCGGGUGCUAACGUCCGUCGUGAAGAGGGCAACAACCCUGACCUCCAGCUAAGGUCCCCAAGUCAUGGCUAAGUGGGAAAGGAUGUGAGGAUCCCAAAACAACCAGGAUGUUGGCUUAGAAGCAGCCAUCAUUUAAAGAAAGCGUAACAGCUCACUGGUCUAAAUAAGGGUCUUUGCGCCGAAAAUGUAACGGGGCUAAAGCCAUGCACCGAAGCUGAGGAUGUGCAGCAAUGCACGUGGUAGCGGAGCGUUCCGUAAGCCUGUGAAGGGAGACCCGUGAGGGCUCCUGGAGGUAUCGGAAGUGCGAAUGUUGACAUGAGUAACGAUAAAGAGGGUGAGAGACCCUCUCGCCGAAAGACCAAGGGUUCCUGCUUAAAGUUAAUCUGAGCAGGGUUAGCCGGCCCCUAAGAUGAGGCAGAAAUGCGUAGUCGAUGGGAACCACGUUAAUAUUCGUGGGCCUGGUGGUAGUGACGGAUUGCGUAACUUGUUCAUUCUUAUUGGAUUGAAUGGGCGAGGAAGCGGUUCCAGGAAAUAGCUCCACCGUACAGACCGUACCCGAAACCGACACAGGUGGUCAGGUAGAGUAUACCAAGGCGCUUGAGAGAACUAUGUUGAAGGAACUCGGCAAAUUGCACGCGUAACUUCGGAAGAAGCGUGACCCCUUUGCACGCAAGUGUAAUGGGGUGGCACAGACCAGGGGGUAGCGACUGUUUAUCAAAAACACAGGGCUCUGCGAAGUCGCAAGACGACGUAUAGGGUCUGACGCCUGCCCGGUGCUGGAAGGUUAAGAGGAGAGGUGCAAGCUUUGAAUCGAAGCCCCAGUAAACGGCGGCCGUAACUAUAACGGUCCUAAGGUAGCGAAAUUCCUUGUCGGGUAAGUUCCGACCUGCACGAAUGGCGUAACGACUUCCCCGCUGUCUCCAACAUAGACUCAGUGAAAUUGAAUUCCCCGUGAAGAUGCGGGGUUCCUGCGGUCAGACGGAAAGACCCCGUGCACCUUUACUAUAGCUUUACACUGGCAUUCGUGUCGGCAUGUGUAGGAUAGGUGGUAGGCUUUGAAGCUCGGACGCCAGUUUGAGUGGAGCCAUCCUUGAAAUACCACCCUUAUCGUCAUGGAUGUCUAACCGCGGUCCGUCAUCCGGAUCCGGGACAGUGUAUGGUGGGUAGUUUGACUGGGGCGGUCGCCUCCGAAAGAGUAACGGAGGCGCGCGAUGGUGGGCUCAGACCGGUCGGAAAUCGGUCGUCGAGUGCAAUGGCAUAAGCCCGCCUGACUGCGAGACUGACAAGUCGAGCAGAGACGAAAGUCGGUCAUAGUGAUCCGGUGGUCCCGUGUGGAAGGGCCAUCGCUCAACGGAUAAAAGGUACGCCGGGGAUAACAGGCUGAUGACCCCCAAGAGUCCAUAUCGACGGGGUUGUUUGGCACCUCGAUGUCGGCUCAUCGCAUCCUGGGGCUGGAGCAGGUCCCAAGGGUUUGGCUGUUCGCCAAUUAAAGCGGUACGUGAGCUGGGUUCAGAACGUCGUGAGACAGUUCGGUCCCUAUCUGCCGUGGGUGUAGGAAUAUUGACAGGAUCUGUCCCUAGUACGAGAGGACCGGGAUGGACAUAUCUCUGGUGGACCUGUUGUC